UAAAUUUGUCUACAUUCAAAAUUUAAGUUGCAACAACAAAAGUGCAUUGACUGACUUACUGCAAACAUUGAAGAAGGUUGGGGUUGAAGGAAUACCUUUAUCCGCUAAAACUCUUUUAGGUACUAGUCGAGAAACAGUAGAUAUUGUAACAAUAGCAGGAGGUUCUGUUGUAGGUUUUCCUAAAGAGGACCCUUUCAUCAUUGGAUGCUUCUCUCAGUCGCAUCACCGGGGACGCGGAAAGCGAGGAGUCCAUGGAACUUGCUGCUAUGAUUCCCGUAUUAUCGGUGGAGCAAGUGCAGGCUGUUGAAGCCAAGCUGAUAAAUAAAGCUUACGCCGACGUAAUGAUUGGGCUUCUGGCAAGAUCAAAAGGCACGAAAGGAACGGUUGACGGGGUUAUGCGUUAUCUAUUCACAGAUGACGCCAUGUACAGCUUUAACUUAGAAGGAAGAGCAGGAAAGAUUCCACUUCUUAGACUUAAGUCGGUUGAACUUAUAUUUGACCUCUUUUCAGAAAAAAGAACAAAAGAAGAUAUACAAGGCGCUAUUAGAAAGUAUGUUCGUUUAAGCCACAAUAUAUGUAACCAACAAAAAAAAUUUUAAUUAAUAAAACUUUAACUCUUUAAAUCUGUAAAUAUG
Molecule: RNA transcript, 635 nt
Organism: Anastrepha ludens (Mexican fruit fly)
Lineage: Eukaryota; Metazoa; Arthropoda; Insecta; Diptera; Tephritidae
Exons: 4
Source: RefSeq, a predicted model, not a curated record